UCGUGGUUAAAGCAGCACCUAGGAAUAACAGAAACGGGCUUGCCUUAAUGCAUGCUGUGGUAAUUUACAGCCACGUAUCUGGAUGGUUUUGAGUGGCACGUUUCUAUAGGUGAUAGGAAUGAAAUAAUCCAUGCAAACAGUUACCUACUCAGGAAUCAAAACAAGGUAAUUGGUUAGUAGGUAUGAUGAAGAACAUUUUGCCUGUAUUAUGAUUGAAGUGUCUGCUACGUGUUGAACUCAUUGAACUUCCCCUGUGUUUUCAUCCAUGAGAAUCUGAAAUGUUUUCAGUUUGCAAUAAAGUAACUACUUCAGAAGGUAAGCCCUUUCUGCAGCAUCUCUCUAGGUGAUGAUUAAACACCAGCACAGUUUGCCAGAUAAUAACUGCCUUAUUUUUCUUCCAAUUGUUGAUGUUAUUGUAGCAGUUGCUAACAGCGGACCUGUUAGGCCAUAGCAUAUCAGCCCAGAUGUCUUACUGCAAACCAGCUGCUCUUUUUGACUCAGUGGAAGAACAGGAUGUAUCAGUGAGCUCUUUGUAUUCAGUCACUCCAUUUCCGCCUAAAAGCAUCGUAUUACUGUAGGCACGUGAUGUUUAGGUGGUGUUCAGCUUGCCUGAGGAACUUGUCUGCAAUAGAGCUCACAGCACUUUUUCCCACUUGCAAUUACUACUUUUUUUUUUCCCCAUGCUUAUUAAAUGAUUACCAAUCUUCAUUUAAACAUCCUGCAGUGCUGAACAGUUGACCAUCACAAUGCCUGUGAAGUAGCUCAGUGCAUCCAUUCUAGGUAGGAAUAAGUCUUCCAAAAAAAAACAAUCAAAAAUCUGCACUCGGAGCGUUGGUAGCAGGACUAACAGGAAUGACCCAGCAACAGGGCUGCUUUUGCCACAGCUUUGUGCCAGUCUUCAUGUGGUUACAAAAAAUGGUAGUCUACAAAAAUAUGGCUUAAUUUUUUACAAUAGCUUUUAAGCCUUUGAAGAAUAGAACAUGUUUCUGGAUUUUUAGAUGUUGUCUUGUAAAAGCAAUACAGAAAGCAGUUGUCUCCAUGUGCACGUUUAUAAGUGAUAGGGAUACAUCUAAGAGGCAGUAACUAUUAUGUGAAUAAUUUACUUGUUAGCAGAUCGCAUUCUGAAUGUAAGCAGUCCACAGGACAGCUUAUAACUUUAAGAAAUACUUGGUGAGAGCGUUUGAUGCUACGCGUUAAUUAGCACUGUUCCUGAUCAAAUGCAGAAGCAGAGUAAACAUGCUCACUUCUACCUUGUUCUUAGUGCCAUGUGGCUGCUAAAACCCAGCCACAAAUAAUGAGCCGUGCUCUGAGAGGAGCCUUCUUGUUACCAUGGGACUUUACAGAAGUGAAAAUCGGACCUACAAGGCAAGACUGGCAAACUGCAAAUGCUCCAUCCUUAUCUUCAGAUAUGUAAGUGACCAAGAACAGGGCCUUCUUUUCCUAUGUGUUCCAGCCAUCAAAGUAGCAGCCUCGAGAAUAAUAGCAUUUUAUACCCAAAGGCCUGAAAUACGUUGGCAAAGGCUCUAGAGGUGUAAGGUCUGACCACAAAAGCUUCAGAUACUGGCUUUCUGUAUGUUCUGCUCUAGUGGUAAACAUCAGGUGUUUUCCUUCUGAUUUACAGUAGUACCUGUCUGCUAAGUGGGAACUUGAGCUGCAGUGUGUGGUGGGGAGGUGCAUCACUGUAAUGACUGAAUGUUUGUGCUUUUAAAACUUCUCCAAGAAGUCUUUAGUUCUUCAGCUCUUGGCCAAGCAGUAACAGCUAGGAAACUAUGUUGUACUGUGAGGCCAGUGUUGGCAAGCUAUGAUAAUGAAUAUCAGGACUUCAGAGACUGUUCUGGAAUCUCUGUGGUGCUCUUGUGGAUACCUGGUCAUGUCUGCUUCCUUUGCAGCUCUGAAGUAACAGGUUUCAGCUCUGGGUAGUAGAAGAGUACCUUUGAGGCAUAACCAAACUGUUAUCUCUACAACAGCAUUGCAAGAGUUACUUUCACACGCAGUGCAUUCCUGGCUGAAAAAAAACUUACAGAGCAACUGCAGUGCUACAAAUGGAGCAGCUUGCACUCCUGAGUGUUUGGGGAGAUUUGGCUGGAGUUGUGUGGUGGCCAAAGGAACUGUGACAGCAGUUGAUGGCAAAGCUGGGGCUGCUUGAGUGAUGGUUGUAACUGAGGAAACCCCUGAGGGAAGUGAAGAAUUUACGGAGUGUAGCAGUUCCUGGGCAGUGGGGAAAGAAGAUGCAGGAGGGGUAGAGAACAGGAAGACAAAGGCAAGACUUUGUAAAUUCUAUUCCUGGUUGCAUCAGGGAAUUGUUUGCCAACUUUGGAGAAAUCCCAAUCCCUUAUUUAAAUCCAGGUAAGGUGGAAGCAGUGAACUGUGUUCUCCCUGGGGAGCUCAAGUGUAAUUCCCGGAAGUGUGCCAUGUAAGCUAAAGAAAAGGAAACAAACUUGUUCUUGCAGUUUGUUUAUAUUAGAGCUCCUAGUCAUCCAGGUGCAAACCAAGACUGCGCAGUACCAGGUGCUGUGAAUAUGACUGCAGGAAAGGUCUGUUGCAAGAGCGCUGUGACCUGAGUGUGACGGCAGCAAUGAAGGAGACUCCUGGAACCCGCAGAACUACAGAAGCAGCAAGGGUAUCAGCAUGGUAAGGGUUGCAUGAGUGUAUAAGCAGCCUAAAACCAUUUCCAGAAUAUUUUAUCAGAACUUCUGUGGGAUAAAAUCCAAAAAUUGAAAAGUGGAGUGACAUACUUGUGCAAUUCCACAUAGUUUAUGAUUAAGAUGCAUUUUUAAGUUGUUCUGUGACAUUUGUUGUUACAGCGGUUGCUCAUUUCUUGUCGGGAUGGGAAUAUCCCCGAGGGUUCCAUUGUGCAUUCCUGAAAAAGCAGCCAUGCUUUUACUAGGCCAUUUGGGGGUAACUCCUGUUUUUAAGCGUGGAAUGGAUCUUAUUUGUCUGUGAGUUUUCUUUUUUGUCGUGCAAAUCGUGUGUGGCUGCAUUGGAGACAAUACUGUGGCUGAGGAAAAAGGGAGGGAACCAGACUGGGUUUAAUUUGUUGGCUUAAUGAUGUGUACGAGAAAUUACAAAUGCAUUGCUGUGAUAUGCAGAGGUCACAGGAAAUAAGUACAAGCAAGUGUACAAAGAUACUCUGCAGCGAGACAGUUUGAGUCUAGACAGUUAGAGCUUUCAAAAAGCUUGCAAUAUUUAAUUCCUGUGAUCAUCACGUAUCUGGAAUUGUGACUGCCUUUGCUGAAAUUUCAGCUGAUGAGAUAAAGCUUUAGAGAAGGGUUUUUGGAGGGGAGGGUGAAAGCCAGACCAGCCCCAAAGCCCUGAGGAGGUCUGUCCACGUAAAUGGGUGCCAGGCAGCCGCUUUACAAGUGGAGGUCAAAGGGAAAACAAAUCCAUACCAAUCCCAGCAUGGCUCUAGGCACUGCUUCUGUCCCCACUGCUGUUUGACAAACUCUGCAGUUGUCUUUGUGAUUUUAAUAACUAAGUCACGGAGAUUAGAGGCUGUGCAUGGCUUUCUGAAGAGUGAAAUUAAGUAAGUGAAGACAGCCUGAGAGCAAGUAGAGAGAGAACAGGCUGAGAGAAAGUAGCACCAGGUAAUCCUUUAUGGUUGUGUUGCGCUUGAUUUCAAAUCUGUAAUUUUGUUGCCCACAUUGGAGUCCUGCCAUUGGAGCUUAAACUUCUGGAUUGCUGCCUAUGCAGGCCCUUGAGAACUUGGAUUGUGCUGUACAUUGUGUCAUGAUUAUCAUGUCUUUGCAAGAUAUUUUCUGCCACACCUUCCUAUAUAAUUUUUCCUGGCUUUCUGGCUGCCUACCUUGCAAUAAUAUUUAAAACAAACAAACAAACAGCAGUCCCUUAAAUUUCUGUUUGCAUGUGGGGGGAAAAAGGCACUUAAGAAGCAUAGUCUUUUGUGUUGUGCUGUACUUCCUACACCUUUUUCCCUUUGCAAGGGUCGCAAAGUUUUUCGAUACUGUAUUUUUAUUGAGAUACAGAGCUUUACGUGAACUGAGAUACACAGCUGCAUUAAUCAUUGGCAUCCUGUAUAGUCCAUGUGGAUUUUACAAGAAAUUCUAAGCCAUGCUAUCAAAGGCGGAGGCCACAGAAACAUUUUUGAUGUCAAGUAUAUUUAGGAUUACCUAUAGUGAUGUUUUCUUGUAAGGUCAUAGUGUUCCAGUAGUUUGGAGGUUGAGAACUAGGAGUGAGCAGUUUUUCUGAUGCAUCUCCCAGGUCCUGCCAGGAGUGGAUGCCCUCAAACUGUAUGCGUUACCACUUCUUUUCUUUUUCUGGCUUAGAUUUGUCCACUGGUUUCAUAAGCCCUCAGGAACGGCCUUUCUCACCUCAUCUCUUUGCCCAGACUACUGCCAUACACAACUACAGCUUAUAGAAAUAGCAAACUUCUUUGGACAGAUACAUUUGCCUGAUAGUGCAGCACAAGCAUUGAGAAAGAGGUAAAUUACCUUUCCCUCCCUGCUCCCUGCCUACGGAACGGGUGAGUGCGAAGCCUGACUCAGAGCCAUCAGGCUGAAGGCAGGCCCUCUCUGUAAUGAUCACUCCAGGCUGCCACAAGCAGUGAAACAGUCUUUCAUCGCUUCCCUUGAUGUUCUUGCUGAGGUUUGGACCAAGCAAGGAUGAAGGCUUGGAGGAGGAACAAAGUGCAGAAAGAAUAACAGGGGCACGCUGAGGUCAGGAAGUGGAAUUGGGGCAGUGAGUCCAGUGGGACCUUCUGCUGGCCCCAUCGUGUGAGCGCCUUCCCUGGUCUUUAAUCCUGUGAUUGCCCUUCCUUCCUCCCCCCAGCCCCUGCUCAGCUUGUACAGAGGACCUGCUUCAGGAAUGAGUGGGACGUGUGAAGAAGUGCAGGAAGACAAAGGAGAAUCUCUUUAGGCAGCUGAGUGCUCUUCUGGAAAAGUGGCUUUUAUCCUAGCGGUGCAG
Molecule: long non-coding RNA, 4917 nt
Organism: Tympanuchus pallidicinctus (lesser prairie-chicken)
Lineage: Eukaryota; Metazoa; Chordata; Aves; Galliformes; Phasianidae
Exons: 3
Source: RefSeq, a predicted model, not a curated record